AGGGUCUGCUAUAUGAAAAAAGCUUUAACUAAAUCCUGAAUCCUCUUCUGCAUCACAUCACAGCUUUUGCACAAGGGCUGCAAAAGACAUCUGCUGACUGAAGCCAUCAGUCUGGUGGGCUGAAACACUUUUGGUUGCAAAGAAGAGAUUAAACUUGGACUCCAUUAAGUGACUGUAGUUGGAAGAUUCAAACAAUUUCAGAGGAUGUAACUAAACCACAUGUGGUUUACCAUUGAUCUUUACCAUAAAUCAGAAGAAUGAUGAAAACUGUGGAAAAAGAAAUAUUUUGGAACAGGCUGAAACACAGACACUGGGAAAUGAGGAAAAGGUGGAGCGUUCUCCCCUACUCAAAGCUGCAUCAGGUUUUUGAUGAUAAUUCAUCUACCACUGAUCAAUUUUUUGAAAAAAAUUGUCCAUCAAAGACCAAGCAUGUUUUUUUUUAAACAUAAGAUGUAUCCAAUUCUUAGGAAUACAGUGCACAAAAAAAUCUUCAGUACAAUAUAACUUCUCCAUAAAUAAUUUUACUGUAUGAAAUCAGAGCUUCUUAUUAUAUUUGGUCCUAUUCGUUUUGAUGUGCUGUGAUUUUCCUGCCGCAUGCUGUAGGUCAUGCUGUGGGAUUAGUAAUACAGCCAUUCUGCUACUGACUAGUAACUGACAGAAGCUGUUUUCAUAACCUUUCGUGAAGAUUGUGACAUCUAUAUUUUUAUUUCUGUUUUCCAGCUUAUCUUGACUUUUCAAAAUACUUGCAAGCUCCUUAUCAGUAGAGGUUCAAAACUUGUAGUAAGGAAUAAGUUCAUUUUUUUAGCUAGCAUGCUAUCAGUUCAGGAAAAGUCACUUAAAAACAUGAGCAAAAAAGUCUUAAUAUAUUUUAAUUGUAACCUUGAAAGAAAAAGGAACAUCAUCUGAAAUGAUCAAGACUAAUUAUUCAGGACUGUAGAGAUCAUUAGCAAAACUUCAGAGACAAGUUAGAUGAACUAGAUAAGCCUGACUGCUGGAUGGACUUCAGAAGAUCAUUGAGGGCAAGGUGCUUUGGCAGGCUGACCUUCAUCUGAAACACACAUGUACAUGUGCACUCACCAAACUGUGAAAUGUUUUGUACAGCAAUAACAUCCCAGUCUAUUUUGCUGUUCCUAAAUCAGAUCAUUGGACUUCACAGAGGAAAGUUUUCUUUAUGCUUUAACAAAACAAAUAAACAAAAAGUGUAGAUUAUUUUGUCUUGAUGU
This 1223-nucleotide long non-coding RNA is filed under the name Cyanistes caeruleus (blue tit). RNAcentral's name for it is "lncRNA (ENSCCEG00000022753.1)". The record is from RNAcentral. Lineage: Eukaryota; Metazoa; Chordata; Aves; Passeriformes; Paridae.